This 44364-nucleotide long non-coding RNA is filed under the name Capsicum annuum. RNAcentral's name for it is "long non-coding RNA (CANN_LNC018316)". The record is from RNAcentral. Lineage: Eukaryota; Viridiplantae; Streptophyta; Magnoliopsida; Solanales; Solanaceae.
CAUACUUUUCCUUGCCAUGAACACUAAACAAUUGAUAUUUCACUUUAUCGUAUUUUUUUUUACAAAAUAUGUCUUGGUUUAUAUAUUUGUCAUUCAUGCUUGUAAUUAUUAGUUUUGAACUAAACAUGUAUAUAUUUGUGUUCUUUCUUCCUUUGUUACUUUUUUCGUUAAAGCUCAUGCUUUAUUUGUGGUUUGCGCUUAAAGCCCCAAUAGACCUUGGAGCUCCUUUGCAGUUUUUGCUUUUGAUAACACUUAGUGGGAGAAAUGAAUGUGUUUCUUUUACUAAAGGGUAUUUAACAGCCUCUUGCAGAAAUGCAAGGUAAGGCUGUGUACAAUAGAUCCUUGUGUUACAAACUAUUCGAGGAAUCGGCAUCUUUAGUUAUUAGUUGGAGAUGCAUAAUGUAUUAUACCUUGAUUUAGCUAUUAUCAAAGCUUAUAUGUAUACUUAUCGAUAGCUAAUUGACCGAUGAAUUUUUAUGUCCUGGCGUGUACUCAGUUUGACAACUUGUAUGGAUGUCGCCACUCACUGCCCGAUGGUCUCAUGAGGGCUACUGACGUUAUGAUUGCCGGGAAGGUUGCCCUUGUUGCCGGUUAUGGAGAUGUUGGCAAGGGUUGUGCUGCUGCGUUGAAACAAGCAGGUGCGCGUGUGAUUGUGACUGAGAUUGACCCUAUCUGUGCUCUCCAGGCUACCAUGGAAGGCCUCCAAGUUCUUACUCUCGAGGAUGUUGUUUCUGAAGUUGAUAUCUUUGUCACCACAACUGGUAACAAGGACAUCAUCAUGGUUGACCACAUGAGGAAGAUGAAGAACAAUGCCAUUGUCUGCAACAUCGGUCACUUUGACAAUGAGAUCGAUAUGCAUGGUCUCGAGACCUUCCCUGGUGUGAAGAGAAUCACAAUCAAGCCUCAAACAGACAGAUUUGUCUUCCCUGACACCAACAGUGGUGUCAUCAUCUUAGCCGAGGGCCGUCUCAUGAACUUAGGAUGUGCUACUGGACAUCCUAGUUUCGUCAUGUCAUGUUCGUUCACUAACCAAGUCAUUGCGCAGCUUGAGUUGUGGAAGGAGAAGGCAAGCGGUAAGUAUGAGAAGAAGGUAUACGUCUUGCCAAAACACCUCGAUGAGAAGGUUGCUGCCCUUCAUCUCGGAAAGCUCGGAGCCAAGCUCACUAAGCUUUCCAAGGACCAAGCUGAUUACAUUAGUGUACCAGUUGAGGGUCCUUACAAGCCUGCUCACUACAGGUACUGAAGAAAGACAAACAAACACAAUGUUUUGGCAUGAUGUUUUCACUUUUACUACUUUGAUUCUGUCUUGUUGGGAAUAUUUUGGUGGAAAUGAAAUGGUCUCAUUUGAAGGAAGACCAAAAUGUGAUGUUAUAGUUAUUGGAUUUAUUUGGUUUUGGUUAAUUGAAGUGAAAUUUUUGUCAUCUAGUUUUUAUCCAUUCAAAUUUUAGUAUGUCUCUAGGUAUUAUACCUCCUUGUGUUAUAGUGUUUGUACUUUCUUGUGUUAAAGUUGGAGCAACCCACAAAGUUGUUUAACAAAAAGUUAAAAAAAAUCCCCAUAAAGUUGUCCUCUGAGCAGUAGGUCACGGAUUCAAAUCGUGAAAACAAUCCCUUGCAAAAAUGUAAGAUAGAGACUAUUACAAUAGAUCUUGUGGUCCGACCCUUCUCUGGACCCUACGUAUAGCAGGAGCUUUAGUGCACCGAGCUGACCUUAGUUUUGAGUUUGGCAAAAAGAUGACUCAAUCUUGUUUCUCCAGGAAAAUAAAGUCAAAAAUUGUUCAUCUACAUUUAGUCAUAUCUCUAGGUUGGAUAAUAGAAUUCAAAUCUUGUUUCUUUGGAAAAAAAAAAAGAAAAUUAUAAAGAAGAAUAAAAUGGUGAUAAGGUGAUACUUCGUUCGUUUUAAUUUGUUUGUUUAGUUUUGGUUUGACACGAAUUUUUUGUAAUUUUAAAUUAAAGAUAAAUAGAAUGCAUUAAAAUAUCGUUUAAUCUUAUAGUCUUAAAUAUGUCAUAAAAACACUUUUCUUGAACCAGAUUAAAAAGAAAAGUAAAAUACACUAACUAAAAUGUUAAUAACAAAAGACAUUGGAACAAGGGGUCAAUUAUUUCUCUCCACUUUCUUGCCCUUUCAAUUAUUAUGCUAAAAAUAAAGAAAAAAACUCAUUUUAUUUCUUCCUACCUUAUCAUAUAUUAUAAGUCCCUUAACAAAAAAUCUAGCUUUUAUGGGUGAUAGAAAUGUUUAACAUUAAUUAGGACUGCUAGGCUUUUUCUACUUUCAACCAAACCAAAUAGAGCUAGGUCAGUAUAUAGAUAUUAAUAAUUCCCUUACUGCUGGUAUGUAUUUAUUCUGCUAAUUAAUGAAUAUGAAUAUAGUAUUAUCAACCAAUGACACUUCCACUGAAUGGGCCCUACGCAAUAUAGUCGGACUUCAAUGCGGAUACCGAAUACCAAGGGGAAACCAACUAGCAUUAUUAGUAGUUGCAUUAAAUAAAUAGGACAGUUUACGCAGCGUGUUCAACGACUUAAAAGUAUACGAACUAGCUUGAACACAACUCGACUAUUCCAUAGUAGCAGCAUUUUUUUCUGAUGAGGAUGGUGUCCGAAUUAGCUUGAACACAACUCGACUAUCUCGCUAACUGCUACCUUCCACCAGCAUAGGUAAGUUGUAAUGAUAACUCUACCUACCACGGCUUAGGUGUGCAAGGAAAUUACCUAGUACGUUUUGCCUCGACUGAGAUUUGAGAUGCAUUGACUAGUAGGAAUAAGGUCUGCAUACAUCUUAUCCUCCCCAUAAACCACAACACGUCGCUCGUGGGACUAUAGUGAAUAUGUUAUUGUUGUUGUUAACUAGUUACACAACUGUGGCUUAUAUAACCUAUACAACCUACUUGUGGUCCAGUGAAUAAAGAACCAUUAUUUUGUGAGAUAUGUCAGAAAAGAAAGAUACUCUACUUCUGGUGGUUUAUGCUUCAAAUUCUUGUCUCUAUUUGAACUUGAACUCCAAGCCCAACCCACCCCUCUACGACAUGGCACCUCCGGGCCAGUGUGCCAUGCCUCCCUUGGGGGCUAGCAACUGAGUCGGGCCAAGCCCAACCCGCCUCUCUACGACAUGGCACCUCCGUGCCAGUGUGCCAUGCCUCCCUCGGGAAUACUGCAUUGUUAUAUGAGUUCGACCUUUUCCACAUGUUUCAUACAUCAAACAAGCAAAUCUUUACAAGAUUUCACACAAAUCAAGAUGAUUCGUUCCAGCGAGCAGAUGAAGGAGAGUUCUAGUAACGUUUCCUUACAUAGCCGAGAAGACAAGAUGAGUUAAAGCAAUCAAGAAACCACACUUUCUAAAACACCCAUCUGUUUUAUGUAUGAUAACCACAACUGCCAAGUCUACAUUCCUUUUGUAUCGUCAACGCUGACAUACCAAACAGAAACAAGUAGAUAAUUCUGCAAACAAUGGAGGAUACGCGCUUCUAAUGGUUGAGGAUAAAGCAAAUGAAUGGUUAUUGUGGAAACUAUUCAAAGCUCGACUAAUUCGUUUAGGGUGAUCAAUAAUGGUGGUUCUAUUAUGAUUGUGAUUGUUAUUUUUCAAGUGGUGCAAAUCUUUGUACUGUUUCUUAGAUCAAUUGUACCAAUAACGCUUCUACAAAAUCCUGCAAACGCCACCAUCCUCCUCAGACCAAAAAGAUUAAAAUGAAGGAAGAGAAACGAAAUGUGGAACAACCAUCUCAUUGAAAGCUUAUUUGUUGCCAUUAUUGGCCUGAUCUUUCCUAUAAGCACCAUGUUUCCGUCUUAUCUAGGCUUUUCUUCCUUAGUUUUCUCUCAUCCAAGUCCUCAAGAAAGUUUUAUCCGGCAUCCACUUCACAUCAUUUCCACGAAAUAAUCCAUAGACAGACACCCCAACGAUAGAGAUACCAAGUAGCGUUACAUUCUUGACUGCUAGCUAUCCCAGAAUUCUAUCCCUUUGCCUUUCAAAUGCAUCUUAAGUGCGUUCGAAACAAUCAGUAGCCCAAAAUUCCGCUCAUCAGACACAUAGGGACAUAGCAUUCUCCUAGAAACACUUUCAAACCUCUCUGUACAUUAUCCUAAAGACAUUCAAAUGAUGAGAAAGUUUGUAAUAGAAGCUUCUCAAAAUGAUCAUUGGUCUCUUACAGGAACAGCUAAAACGACAUAAGACUCUGCUCCCCACAAAUUUGCGCCUAAUGAUUCUUAGAACAAAGGAUGAACAGAAUAACGUUAACACACAACAGAAAUCAUCGCGUCGUUAGUAAAUGCAAAUAAGACUUGAGGAUCAAAUGAAAUUAGUCAAACUACAAAGAAUCUAAAACUCUAAAAGAUCAGAUUUUGAUACUGCUUGAGAUUACUCGGUUGUUAUGGUUAAUUCCUAGUAAGUUUGACACCCUAAAAGCCUUAUGCACCUUUUAGUAUCAUCCUCUAUAACAAUGAUUCACUAUAACGGCCAAGUACUUUUCAAGAACUAGUUUUUCAUGUUACGCUAUGUUAUGAUAUAUUAUAUGUUCUCCAUAACAACAUUUCGCUAUAGCAUCCUAAAAAUAUCUAAUCAAACGACGCUAUUAUAGAGAGGUUUGACUAUAUUUUCAACAACAAUAGAAACAGAUUGGUAGCAUAUCUAGUGUUUUCCCACAAAGUAGUGUCUGGGGAGGGUAGAGUGUAGGGAGACCUUACCUCUACCUCAGAGAUAGAGAGGCGGUUUCCAAUAGACCCUCGGCUCAAGAAAAACAGUCCAAAGCAGUACACAAAAAGAAAUACUGGAAGUACGGGAAACAACAAAUAGUAACAAAACAGUACUACAACAAAACAAUACGAUAGUCCAAUUGGGAGCAUAUACAUAUAGAACCAAAAAAUAAUUUGGCAUCAGCAGAAUUUAUACUAUUUGAUAUGGAACAAUUGGUUACGGUAACUUCAUAGUAUACAACAUGACCAAAAACUUCAAGAUUUGUGGCUAAAUAGAACUUUACCAAAUCAAGAUUUGAUGUCACUGACCUGCGUAGCGCAUCUAGUAAUAAUCUCACAACCUCUAUUAUAAGUAUUAGCUGCACCAGGAGCUUUACAAUUAUAAUAUGAAGCACCAGGUGUAUUAAAAGGCACCAAAUCCCUCUUCAAUGUACCAUAACUAAUGUACUUUUUCUGCAUUAGCAAAACUCUUCUGUUACUUUCACUAUCCAUCAAAUCAUCUUCAUCCACCUUUUCAACACAACCCCUUUUGCCCGUUAGGCUGUACGUAGACCUUACCAUACCUUUAGGCUGUACGUAGACCUUACCAUACCUCAUACAACAGAGGUAGAGAAGCUGUUUCCGAUAAACCCUCGACUCAAAACAAUAGCAGUCUAGAAAAAGAAGGAAAGGAAGUACAAGAAACAAAAAAUAAUAACAAAAACAACAGAUAGUUGCAGAAUAGUACAGCAACAAACCCAGUGUAUUCCCACGUACGCAGUCCAUACCACUACCUCCGAAGAAGUAGAGAGGUUGUUUCCGAUAGACCCAUGGCUCAGGACAAAAAAGACAUUAAAUAAAGUCUGAAUACAACAUGAAGCAGUUGCAGAAUUGUAGUACUACAAUACAAUAAUACUAUAAUUGAACUACACGAAACAACAGAUAGUACUAAAAAAAAAUGUACAAGAAACUACAAGGGGGAACAUAUACAUAGAACAAAAUAAAUAAUUUGGCAUCAACAGAAUUUAUACUACUUGAUAUGGAACAAUUGGUUACAUUGACUUCAUAGUACACAACAUUAGCAAAAACUCCAAGAUUUCUGGACUAAAUUAAUAAUCAAGAAAGCACAAAUAUCACUUUAACAAUCAAGAUUUGAUGUCACUGACCUGCCUAGCACACCUGGUAAUAAUCUCACAACCUCUAUUAUAAGUAUUAGCUUCACCAGGAGCUCUACAAUUAUAAUAUGAAGCACCAGGUGUAUUACAAGGCACUAAAUCCCUCUUCAAUGUCUCAUAACUAAUGUACUUUUUCUGCAUUAGCAAAACUCUUCUGUUACUUUCACUAUCCAUCAUAUCUUCUUGAUCCACCUUUUCAACACAACCCCUUUUCCCCAUUACAUCAAAGUUACAAUCUUUAACUGAAUUAAGGUCAAAAACUGAAACCCCAUUACAAAAUAUCAUGAUAAAAAUCAAGAAAAAGAGGAUUUUUUGCAUUUUGUGAGCUGGAGGUGUUGUCAUUUUUGUAUUUUGUUUUUUGGAUUUUGGGCUGCGAAAGUGAGAUUCCAGGGUGUCUGAAAAUUGCAAAUUUUUGGGUAAGGAGAGUAGUAACUAGUGAGGAGUCAUUAAUGGUUGUAGGGAUCAGCCUGUUACCUACACCUACUUUGGUACUCAACGAUCAUGGGAGGUUUGGGUGGGGUGGCCGGGGGGGGGGUGAGUAGUGAGUGUGACCCAUCACCAUUCUUGAUUUUUUUCCCUCUCCGAGUUUCAUAUUUGAACUAUUAGGUAUAUUAGUUUUCUAAUUGAAUUAUCAUCGAUGACUUAUCAAUAAACCUCAACGGCUAUCGCUAUGCGUGAUAUUCGGGGAAGAGCCCACCACAAUGGUGUAUCGUACUCAGUCCUAUCUUGCAUUUCUGCCAGAGGCUGUUUCCAAGGUUUGAACUGGAGGUCACGGAUUCAAGCCUUGAAAACAGACAGAAAUACAAGGUAGGGCUGUGUAUGAUACACCAUUGUAGUGGGCUCUUCCCCGGACACUACAUAUAGCAAUAACUUUAGUUCACCGGACAGUCCUCUUUUUAACUUUCAUGUAGAGAAAGUGAACAAUUAAUAGUUGAUGUGUGUUUUGAUUAAUAAUUAAUAAUAGUUCGUAUAGAAAACUCACACAACUGAUAGUUCAGGUACGAAAUUCAAACACCUGCUAAUUUUCACUUGGUGUCUUAUAUCAGAAAAGUCCUACAUUCACAUUGAAACAACACUUGAACUAUUAUUAUUUCACAAAUUUCAUACCUAAUGUCAGUUGUUCUCUUUUCCUAACUGAAUAAUUAUAUCCAGUUUCACUAUCUUACUUAAAUUACAUAUGUAAUGGUUUAAGCAGGAAAAUGAAAUAACUGAUAGUUAAUUUAAUCGAAUCAGGUUUAAUACAUAUUUCCUUCGUCUCAUAUUACUUGACAUAUUUGUCAAAAAAAAUUAUUCCAAAAUAGUUAACCUGUUUAAAGAUUUAAGAGAUAAUUAAAUACUUUUCUCCAAAUUUAUCCUUAGUAAUUUAAUGAAAGUAAUUAGCUUAAAUAAAUAGAGACAAUAUUUAAAGUGAGUUUAAUCGGAUUGUAUUAAUCAAUUUAUUCUCCUUAUUAAUUUCUCCUAAAAGAGUUGGAUAAAAGACAAACCUUUAAUCAUUAACUCUUAAGAAUAAAGUAUUUAUCAUUCUCAAAACCUUUAUUAAUAUUCUUGAAUUUUAUUAGAGUUUGGUCUAAAUCAAGAAACAUCAAUUUUGCCACAAGCUUUUGCUUUAAGACAAACAACUUUGACUUUGUGCACAAAUAAAGUUUGAUCUAGGCUGGUCUCAAAAUCUGUGGUUAUGUCUUGGACUUGGGCUGGUUCCCAAUUCAAUAUGAAUAGUAUAUAUUACUAGAAAAGGACCAAAAAAUUAUUUAUGUUUGAGUUUAGUCUAAAUUCUAUAAGUCUAAAUCCAAUCUAGUCCUACGAAUGUACAAUUAAGUUGUUUUGGUUCUUUGUAUUAUCAAAAUCAAACACUUUUGGUCAUUGUUAUAUUUAAAACACAUGGUAGUAGUACUUAUCUUUAAUGAAAUUGGCUCGUCAGAAGCACGUGGCAUAUUUACAUCGAAGAAAAUUACUAAAACAUACGUCUCCUGAUUCAUUCCUUAAUUUACACGUAAAGAAAGUACAUUAUUCAAACUAACUGAACAUAUUGUAUGCUUCAGUUUAUCCUCUGUUAUAAAUAACGAAUGAAUCAAUGUUAUACUUUCUUGGUUUGAACAAGUCACAUGCUUCUCAUGAGCUAAUUGUGUGACAUAUCCACUAUUGUGAAUUCUUAAAUAUAAAUGGAGAAUAAAAGUAGUCAAUUUCGAUAAAAUUAAACGACUAAAUUAGUACCAAUAAUAUAUUUUGAUGGACUAGUUUAGAUCAAUCCCCAAAGGGACUAAGUUUUGUCUCUCUCUAUCUAUAUCAAUUCAUUUGCAUGUCCUGACUUGUCUCUAUGCUAGGGCCCUCCCAUUGCUAUAACCAUAAGCCAUGACAGCUUUCGCUCGCAAUCACAAGAACCCGCCCCACGAGGCCAAAAUGGACUCAGCGAUCAGCUUCCAUUCAAAUUAUGCUAGCGAUUUUUUCGCUUUUAUCAGAUCUAGAAAGAUACUACAAGUUCUAAGUGUGUGUAACUAUUGGUACACAAUCAAGUCAUCAUUGGAAAAACCAAUACGUGGUUGGGGGCGUGCUAUUUACAUAUGAUUAAUUUUCAUGUGCCAAAAUUAGAAAAAAUCCAAUCACUAAUUAUUAUUCUCUUUCAUUUUUAUCAAUAUGUCAAUAGAAUAUAGUACUUAUAAUAUUUUUUAGAUUUGUCUUGUGUCUCUGAAAUAAAUGGUUCAUUUAUUAAUGGAAAAAUGCCAGAGAUUGAACCCCGUGUGGUGGAUUCAAUAAUAUCCACUCAGUGUCGAGUAUCCAUCUUUAAGCUCGACAAAUUUCAUGUUCGCAUAAUGUAAGAUCCAUUUCAGGGGUUGGUAUUUUCAAUGGAAUUUUUUUCAUUUUUAAGGGAAACAAAUUCGAUUAAGACCUCUGAUUAAGCAUAGAGAAAUGUCAAUUAUUCCAUCGCAACUAAUAUUAGUAUCGAUAAAUGUAUUUACAAUAGUUUUAGCACUACUGCUCGACAAAAUCCAUGUUCGUGCAUCGUAAGAUUUAUUCUUGAGGUUGAUGUUUUCAAUAGAAUUUUUUUUCAUUUUUAGGAGAAAAAAUUCGAUUAAGACCUCUAAUUAAAAAUGGAGAAAUAUCAACCAUCCCAGCACAACUAAUAUUGGUAUCGAUAAAUGUAUAUAUUUACAAUAGUUUUAGCACUAGUGCUCUAUUUAAAACAUAUAAUUUUGUUUCAUUUAAAAAAAAGAUUAGUGGGCCAAAAACUUGAAUCUGAAGCAAAUUGGGAUUACUCUCUUUUAGAUUUGGUGGUUGCAAUGAAAAUUGAGUAACAAAAAAGGAAAACAGUACAAAACACUAAACCACCCUUGAUUAAUUUGUUUGUUCGUGAGUUAAGGGUCUUUUGGAGUACUAUCUUUACUUUCAUAAGAGAAUGAUAAAAUCCACCUACACUUUAUUCUUUUCCGACUCCGCUUAAACCGAACAUGUUACGAUUGUUGGUUGCAAUGAAGACAUAAGUAUGUGUUUUUAGCCAUCUUCUUUAAUGGAAUAAAAUUCUCUUUUUGAGUUUUGCUUAGGGAGUAGCUAUUGACCUAUAUGAAUGAGAUUCAUAUUGUACAAAGAAUAUAACUUUAGUUGUAAAAAGAGUGUGUAUUAAAUCAUAAUGUUGGUAGGUAGUGAGUUAGCUUGAACUUUUAAUUAAAACCUUAAUUAGCACACCAAACAAAUAAGGAAAAAUGUAUAUACAACAUUCAUAUUUGCAUGUUACUGAUAAAAGUUGUUGUCAUGUUAUCAGGAGAUCAUGAGUUCAAGUCGUGAAACUAGCCUCUUGUACAAACACAUAAUAUGUCUGCAUACAAUAGAUUCUUGUGAUCUAACCAUUUUUCGGACCGUACAAAUAACGAAAACUUUAGUGAAUCGUGCACCGGAUUGCCCUCUGCCCUAUGUUCAUAUUUGCAUGUGGUAGGCAAACCUUUGCUUACUCUUAUGGAGUGAGUUUAUAAUAUGGUGUAACACAAAAUAUUAUCAUGAAGAAAACUUUCCUUUAGAAUUUUUAAUAUACUAGUUUAGGUAUACGCGUCUCGCGUGUGUACCUUGCUUUAUUGAAUUCAAACGUUACACUAAAUAGGAUAUUUAUUUAAAUAAUAAAGAUGAAUACAAUAAUUAAAUUCAAUAUCUUUUGGAGAAUUUAUUUAAUUAAACCUAACUUUUAUCGAAAAAAUUCUCAAAGCCGAUCGACAUUCAUCUACCACCUGUAAACUGCAACAAAAUAAUACGAUGAUAGAGGCAUCAAAAUAAUAUAAUUAAAUCUAACCUUUAUAUAAAAAUUUCCUCAAAGUCGUCUGACACUCAUCUACCACCUGUAAACUAUAACAAAAUAAUACGACAAUAGAGAUAUCAAAAUAAUAAAACUAAACUUUACCUUUACACAAAAAAUAUUUUCAAAACAGAGAUAUAAGAACAAUACAAUUAAACCUAACUUUUCCUAAAAAAAAAUUUUCAAAGCCGAUCAAAAUUCAUCUGCCACUUGUAAAUUCAUCUACGAUCUAUAAACUACAACAAAAUAAUACAAUAGUAAUCACAAAACUUCAGUUUUGAUGAAAAUAAUUCUUGUCUGAGUGAAAAUUUUGAUACUAAAGAAUGACUUGAAUAAAAACAAAGAAGAUAUAUAUAUACACUCAUAUGUUGAAUUCUAUUAUGCUGACAAAACUAGUGAAGAAAUUGAGGGUUAGAAAAUUAAGCAUCCACCAAUUUAAACAUGCAACUGAAUCAAGUUAGAUGAGCAUCAAUUACAUUUUUUCAAUAAGUAAAUCAGUUUUUUCUCUAGUUUAAUAUGCAUUUCAAUAUUUAUAGAAGUAUUUUCUUAAUGGAAUCCUAUUGUAACACCCCGUAUUCAAGUACAUGUAUUGGCGUAUUCAAGUACGUGUAUUGGUCUUAUUUAUAUGGAAUUAAUUUUUUAUUUUAUUUAUACCGGAAUUUGCCCGUCGAUGGUUCCAUACGAAGGUUAUUGAAUAAUCUUUCCAACGAUAUAAAGAUUUCCAAAAACGGAUAAGUUUUGGAUAUAAUCGAGCACGUUCGAAACUAUAAAACGGUGGCCGGGAUAUGGUGAAUAGUAAAUGUGCAGGAAAAUUUCCUGCACACAAACUACUGAGGCCUGCCAGUUUUUUGGGUCAAUUUUGAACGCUCAUAACUCCCUUAAUAUAAUGAACUGGGAGAGAUACGACCUAUCAAAAGAAAUAUCUUUGAGUCUUCUUUCCAAUGCAAUUGGUUUCAUCCAAAUCCAACAUCGGAGUAAGGAGUUAUACUCGUUUUACUUCAGCCUCUCAAAACAGAUUUUUAGGGUCAACUUCAAAUGAUCAUUACUCCUUGUACAGGACGAACUGGGUGGCCUAUUUUAUAUGAAAUGAAAGACCUUUGAAUUAUCUUUCCAACGAUACCAAUUUCACCCAAAUCCGAUAUCGAAGCAAAGAGUUAUGGUCGAUCUACUUUAACUUGUCAAAACAGUCCACCAUGGACAGAUUCGGAUUUACUUAAAAUUUUAAGGGCAAUAUGGUCAUUUUCCAUCACCUCAUGAACGAAAAUUGGUCAUUAUAUACAUAUAAUUAGUCUCAUAUCCAUCAAUUAUCAUCAAAUUAUUGAAAAUAAGAAACCCUAGCCUAAUUUCAACUCCAAAUAUCUUGUGAUUCAACCGUAGAAAAUCCAAAUUGAUUCCGUAGUUGUGUUCACCAUCUCAAGGGCUUCGAGAAGCACCCCUUAUUUGUGCCAACAGGACUUCGAAAUCAAAAGGGCCAUUUUAUGGUAAGGAUGUAAAUUAUGUUGGUGUUAUUUAUAUGGAUAUGUAUAUAUAUAUAUAUGCAUGUGAGCAUAAAAAGUAUGUUAUUUGAUUGUUGUUGAAAGAUGAUUGGAAAUGAUGUUGGAUUAUUCUUGUGCAUAGUUGGAUUAUGUUGAAUUGUGAAGUGAUUUGGUGUUAUGAUGUGGUAUUGAAAUGAUGAUUAUAUAUAUAUACACAUAAACCUAUUGUUCAAGUUGAUUUUUGGAAUGUUUUGCAAAUAUUGGUAGUAUGGAAUUAUGGAAGAGAAUUGUGGUGUUGGGUUGCUAAUACUAGAUGCCAAACAUUUCAUUGUAGAUAAGUGAUUUGUAAAGGCGGGAAGUUGUGUUGAAUUGGUAUCCGAAUCUACAACGAGGUAUGUAAAGCAUACUCUAACAAUGUUCUUUGGCAUGAAAACACCAAUGUUCCAUCAAGUAAGAUUCCGAGGUUGUCCAAAAACAUGUAUUGUUCUACGUUACCAACGAAGUUGUUUCCAUCCUAUAAAGUGUCAAAAUGUUUCAUUGAUAUACCAAAAGGCUCCUAUUUCAUUGUUGUGAUAUUGAUGAUUCUGAAACACAUUGUUGAUGUACCAAUGAGUCUUUAUUACAUCGUUAUUGUAUAGAAGGUCUAUUACUUGGUUCCUAUUGAUGUAUCAUUGUUUCAAAGUAUCAAAAAUGUGGUGGCGACCGAAAUAACAAUCUCAAAGAUUAAUUGAACUAAGUGAUGGAAGUUCUCUCUUAUCGGGUGGUAUCCCAGGGGCAUAAGCCUAGCAUGGGUCGAUCCCUAUUUAUGUGUUUAUGGGUGGUAUCCCAGGGGCAUAAGCCUAGCAUGGGUCGAUCCCAGUUGAUAUGUACUGGAGGCAGCCUAAUGGUCACAGUACAGUACAGUAAUGAUUACAAAGACGAUAAGAACGAAGGUAAAGUGAUUGAAUAAAUACAAUGUACAGGUUGUCACAAGUUCUAGUAAGUGUGGUCCACUCCUAUUACGACUUAUUCACUUGUUUCUGAUUUCUAUUGAGCUCCUAUAUCAUAUGUGAUUAUUUACAGCUUUACAUACUCAGUACAUAUUUCGUACUGACGUCCCUCACGGGGGACCUGCAUUUCAUGCUGCAGGCACAGGUACCUCAGCUCAUACACCGCACAAGUAGGAGCCAGGUCAUACAGCUAUUGUUGGUGAGCUCCAGUUUGCUUCGGAGCUUUCCGAGUCGGUUCCUUAUGUUUUGUUAUUGUACAUGAGUCACGUGUGGGCGGGGGUUUGUCCCGACCCUAGUUAUGUCAUGUAUAUCCUAGAGGCUUUGUAGACAUAAGGAAGGGUAAAGUCAUGGAAGUUUAUAUAGUAACGUUAUAUUUGUAUAUGUGGUGGCCCCGACGGCCAAGUAUUAUAUAUAUAUAUUUGUGCGUGUUGUGCUGAUACAGGUAAUUAGACCUUUCUAUAUGCAACGAAGUGCUGUCCAAUUUUUUUGGUGACAUGUAAGUGAAAGUACAGGUAUUUGAACGGGUUCUCCCGGGCCUUCUCGGCUUCGGGUGCCAGUCCGGCCCGAUGGGAUUUUGGGGCGUGACACCAACAAAGCAGGAGUUUGGGAUAAUUUCUUUUAUUACUCUAGGUCUUAUUGAUAUAACAACAUACCCAAUGGUGGAGUUAAUAAAUAAAGAAUUGGCUGGAGUAACUGCCAUAAGAAGAGCAGUUAGGCAAGGUCAGCCUAAUGUUGAAGCUCUUUAUGACCAACCUACUAUAAUAGAUACGGGUGCUUUUUCUGAGGGUAUUGCUGGUGGAGUUAUUGAUGAUGGUGGUAGCCAUCCUACUGUUGCUGCUGCCAAUCAUGAUUAUGAGCAUGUUUGGUGCUUAGGAAAAAAUAAAUACGUUUGAAAACACCCCUUGCAAAGGUCCCUCUUACCCUUAUUGAAAAACUAGAGGUUAUUGCUAAAGUUGUCGAGGAGUUGAAAUCCAAAAAGGGUGUCAUACCGUCCAAGAAGGUGAGGGAGCCAUACACUCUUAAAUGUCCAAAUUUUUGGUGACAUAUAAGUGAAAGUACAGGUAUUUGAACGGGUUCUCCCGGGCCUUCUCGGCUUCGGGUGCCAGUCCGGCCCGAUGGGAUUUUGGGGCGUGACACCUAUUUUAGGAAUAUUUUUCUAUUCUAUUUUAUAAGUAUUUUUCUAAUUGAUUAGUACAAAGAAAAAUAUUAAUUGAUUUUCCUUCCAUAUAUUUUAGGAGUCUAGCUAAUAUAAUAAAAAUAAUUAAAUAAUAAAUUAAAAAAAAUAGUGAAAAGAUAGUUUUGCCCAAAGGAGAGUCUUUUAAUGAUGGACAAAAAGUUCAAAUCACUUUUCUAAAGAUCUUUACACUUUUAAUAUAUUAUAGAUAUAGAUAGAUAUAUUUGGUUACUUUGAAUUAGGGGAAAAUGCACAAAUAGCCAACUUUGGGACCCAUUUAAGUCACAAUUGAAAUUUUGUAAGUUUAGUCAUUUCAGUAAAACGUUUACUUUAGGCCUUGAAAAUUUUGAAAUUUUAAAUUAAACAAUUCAAACUUCAUAUUAAUAAAUAAAGUUUUAACAACAACAUCCAAGUUAAUAUAUUGUAAAUAAAUGUCUAACAUUUUAUUCUCUAAAUUAAUCCUUACUUUUAUUAAUAAUCCUAUUAAUAUGUGAAGUUAAAUGUAUUUAUCUUUUAAAAAUACUACACAAAAAAUAACUAAUAUAAAAGAACAAAAAAAUAACUUAAGAUUAUUAAGUAUUAUUUUUGUAUGUAUAUAGAUUUAAGGUCUUUUAUUAAAAUUUGAUUUUAGACAAAGAAGUCAAUUAAUUUGCAGUGGCGAGUGUAAAACACGAGUAUUGAGUUAAGAUGAACUCUAUGUUUUACCUAUAUUUAAUAUUAGAUUCUGAACACAUAUUUGGAAAAAAGUAGUGCAUGGUUAUGUUGCUUACAAGUUAUUGACCGUGUUUUUAUCUGAGAUCAAUAUUAAUGGCGUUGAACUGGAAAUAUAGUAGAGACAAAAUUUUUAUUAAGAGAUUCAUUAUCCACUUUUAGGAAGAAUUCAGAAAAUAGACAUUUUGGUCAAUUUAUUUUGACAAAGAGAUUAGUUUUGAAAAAUUGGAAAAAGAGGCACCUAAUUAAUGGUCCAUGAAAAAAAGUAUCAAUCCUAGCACACAAGUUUAAAAACAUGUAUUUUAGUCUCACUAUCACUUCAAUCCCUAUGUUUUAGAGCACUAUCACUUCAAUCCCUAUGUUUAGAUCACUAUCACUUCAAUCCCUAUGUUUUAGAAACUAUAAAAGCUUAAGUUUCUCAACCAAGCUCCACUACCAAUCAUUAUUUUUUAAUUUUUCAACGAUUUGAUGGCCAUUCUUCAGUGAUUUUUUAUCGAUAAGCUCCACUAUCAAUCAUUAUUUUUCGAUUUUUCAGCGAUUUUAUGGCCAUUCUUGAGUGAUUUUUUAUCGAUUUUUUCGGCAUUCAUCAAAAAAUGACAUUACCUCAAUUAUUUUAAAUCAUUUUUUCAUAUUUUUAUCUUCACAUUUUCAUUCAAAAAGCUUGAAAAUCAGUCUCACUUUUUAAAUCGAUUCUAGCCUCAAUAUCAACAUUCCAACACUCAGCUUGCGAUUCUAGCCUCAAUAUCAAUAUUCCAACACUCAGCUUGUUCCAAAACUUCCCUUUUUACUUUUUUUUGCUGAGAUUUUAUCCCAAUAUUAAUAUAUGUAAUUGCAAUGAACUUGUUUAAUUAAAAACCUUCCAUUCUAUGUUUACAAACUUCAAUAUUGUCACACCUUUUUUUUAACUCCAAAAGAUUAAUUUUAAGUUUCGAAAGGAUUUUUAUUAUCAAAUGACAAAAAGUGAAAAUUUAUUUCAAAAAGGACCUUUUAUAUUCAAAACUCAGAGUCGCCACUUGGCAUAAAUCGGGUGUGCCAAGUCACCCUUGGAUAUCCUUUUUCAAAACGAGUUUCACUCUUUAAAACUGAUCCGCGAACAGAGAUUCCGGCUAAGGAAUUCUGUUGAUCGAGGGGAAGGUGUUAGGUACCCCUCGAUCCCAUGGUUCGACCGCGAUCGCUUGGUGGAGCAUUUCGGCUAACUUGACACUACUAAUGUAUAAACCACAUCAAACACAUAAAACAAGCAACAAACACAUCAAAUAACAAUCCAAAAUCAAAAUAAUAAUGUCCAGUCCAGUUAUACAGUCUAAAGUAGAAAAAUGUGAAAAAUAUAAAUCCUAUUCUAUACUAUCAUAGACUAAAGCUCCAAUGCCUUACCCGACGCUGUGGGCCUUCAUCACGAUCAUUUUUCGCCAAAAUGAUACGUCAGGACAUUCUCUGGUGAAUAAAUACAAUGUGUCUCGGGACAUUCCCCGAUCGAAUGAAUACAUCUGAAUUAAAUAAGCUAACUAAAAAACACGUUCAAAACACACAUUCAAAUAUUCAAAGCAUUCAAUCAACACAUCACUUCUAAAUUUUUGCCUACCCGAACCUAUAUUGCCUAUCCAUUUUAACAUAUCAUAAAUCUAUCACAUUCAUGCUUAUUCCGAAUUAAACAAAAAGACAACAAAGAAAAUUUAACCUACAUUCACCUUUUAUCAAUUUCACAAUUCCAGCCCCGCUAGCUUCGUUUUUACCAAUUACACUAAAAUUACUCCAAUUCGUUUCACAUAUCACCGCAAUCAUACCGUCAAGCACAUAAUCAUGACAUCAACCAAAUCCAACAAUCAUAAUUACCACACACAUAAUCACAACAUCAUUAUACCAAAUAAAAAUGAAAUAAGGAACAAAGGUUAUAAAGAUGGACCUUCCGAAUAUUGUCGAUUGAUUAAGAAGAGAAUAAAGCCGUUCCGGAACCUCAAAGAAUACCACGAAAUCUCGACUAUGAUCCAACUCCAACCCGAUAACCUUGGAACUCCAAUCCGAAACCCCGAAACCAAACAAUAAUCAAGUUUCCGAAAUCAGUACGAGGAUCCACAAGCCCACAACGAAGUCGCAAUAGAGUAAAAGAACCUGUACUUAAACCUCUCAAAAAUGGAUCGAUUUUAAGACGAAGAAGGUCUGUGAGUUCGAAACCCGAUGGUCCCGUCACCGGAAUCAAGUUGAGCAGGCUGAUUUCAGCUAGCUUGAUGGAUGAUUUGGGUUUUUCUACAUCGUGGGGUGCGAGCUAUGGGUCAGCUGUAUUCAAAUCCGGUGAAACAGUAGCCGAUUCCGGCGAAUCAGUAGCCGGAAAGCUUGAGGUCGACCGGAUUCAUUUACUUUUACUCAUUCUUUUUCUGACGAGUGUAUGUGUGUGUCGUGAGAGAGAAGCAUGUGAGAGUGACGAUGGAAGUUUCUUGAAAAGGGUUCUGUCAAUGGUGAUUGUUCUUGGGGAUUUUUUUAGUGAAUGAAGAAGAUCAUGAUCAAGAAAGAAAAAAAUCAGCGCCCCUUUUCUCUCGUUACUCUCUGUAUAUUCUCAAUGCAGACGUUUGUUCUGAGCAAUUGAUUGUUAAUAUUGUAUAACAAAGCCCACUUCUUCUCGAUUUAGCAUGCACCAACUUCUUCUUCCUCUCCGACUUUACGAUAUUAUAUAUAUCCUUGAUAAUUUAAUCUCUCGAAUUAAGGUUUCCGAUUGAAUUAUUGGUUGACCUUUAGUUGUUAAUUGUUGUGAUUAUUAUAUAUAAAUACUAUCCUAGUAUGGUAACUUGAGUUGUUACACAAAGGUUAUUAUAAUUGGUAUUGAACUUCUAUGAAUAACAAUUUCCACUACAAGUAGGAUAAGAAUGAAAAAUAUAAUAAUGAAGGUUGGUAAUCAACUCUGAUAGAGACGUAUAAUAUGGUUAAACACGAUUAGCACAAACAUAUUAGUUAAUUAAUAAAUUAAUUAAUUAAAUUGAUAAUAUGUUUUCUGACUUAACAUAAUCUUUUGAUACGUAAAAUUAUCUAUGGAUAAUAUUUUAAAACUGCCGCCGCUAGUUAUUAUACAUCCACACUCAUAAUAUUUUCAAUAAUUUUGAGAUGUGGAUGUGACCUUUUUUUUCUUAAAUUUUUAUUCACUCAUAGAGCGGGUCGGUCCAGUUCAUCCGAGCUAGUUCAUACGAGCUUUGAGUUUGACGGGCAAGACUGGUUUGGCCUAUCAAAAUGAUGGGCCAAAAAACACCAAGCCCACAACAUUACUCCGUGGGUUGCGGGCCUCACGGGCCAGCCCACUUUUUAAAAAAUAAUAUUUUAUAAUCUAAUUUUAGAAUGUUAAUAAAUAUAAAUAUUAACAGAUAAUAUUGCAUAGUGUUAAUACUUGUUAAUCAAGUCUCCAACACCCCCAAAAAAUACUCCUAAUUCGAAAUUAAAUAACUUUUAGCAUGAUAUUCUUUAAACCAAAUAAAAAUACUAAUAAGCAAUCUAAAUAGUUGCAUGUAUUUGACUUACGGGUCGAUCCACGGGCUAGCCCAAUCCACAUUGCUCAAGCCCUAUGGGCCACGGGCUUAUUCAGGCUGGGUUAAAAAGCCUUGUUAUUAAAUAGGCUGCAAAAACUGAAGCCCAACUCCAUUAAAUUACAGGCUGAAUCGGGCCAGUCUAAUGGACUUGGUCCAUAUUGAUGGCUCUAUACUCUCAUGGUCAUAAAAUAAUAUUAUUAACAACAACAAUAUAUCCAGCUGAAUCCCAUAAAUAGGAUUUAAGAGGAUAGAGUAUACGUAGUCACUACCUCGUGAAGGUAGAGAAUUUAUUUUCAAAAGACGCCCGACUCAAGUAUAGCAAAUCCAAAUAUAAAGAAGAAAAAAAUUGUGGACAAAACAUAAUAAAACAAAUAUUAAGGGAAGCAUGACAAGCCUACAGUAAUGGAGCAAGAAUAACAACAAAAUAGCGACUUUCGGAGGAUGUUAGCCUAUGAAUCGAUGGGUGGGUGCAGGCUUUGAAAAUAUUUUUGGGCGAAAUUUUUUGGGCCUAUUAAAUGGAUCGAGUUGCUUUGGAAGUACUGGGGGAGCCAUUUUUCAAUGCAAAUAAGUGAAACAACUGAAAUUGCAGAUUUUUUGUCACCUUCGAUGGGUAUUAGCCUAUAGACCGAUGGGUGGAUACGGGCUUUGAAAAUAUUUUUGGCGAAACUUCUUGAGCGGUUUCAUGACUACCUAUUAAAUGGAUCAGAUUGCUUUAGAGGGGCUGGGGGAGUCAUUUUUCAAGUCAAAUGAGCGAAACGACAUGAAUUAUGAUUUUUUUACGACAUUCAAUGGGUGUUAGCCUAUGGAUCGAUGGGCGGGUGUGGUCUCCAAAAAUAUUUUUGGGAAAAAAUUCUUGAGCGAUCCCCUGAUGACCUAUUAAAUGGAUCGGGUUGCUUUGGAGGGACUCGGGAGCCAUUUGUCAAGUCAAAUGAGCGAAAUGAUCGGAAUUGUAGAUUUUUUGCGACUUUAGGUGGCUGUUAGCUUAUGAAUCAGUGGAUGGGUGCGGACUCCAGAAAUAUAUAUGGGCGAAACUUCUUAAGCAGUCCGCUAACGACCUAUUAAAUUGAUUGGGUGACUUUGGAGGGGCUGGGGGAGCCAUUUUUCAAGUCAAAUGAGCAAACAACAGUAACUGGUGAUUUUUUGUGACUUUCGAUGGGUGUUAGCCUAUGAAUCGAUGGGUGGGUGCGGACUCCGUAAAUAUUUUCGGGCGAAACUUCUUGGGCGAUUUCCUGACGACCAUGAAUCAGGUUGCUUUGGAGGGGCCUAGGAAGCCAUUUUUCUAGUCAAAUGAGCGAAACGACAUAACUUAUAGAUUUUCUUGCGACUUUGGGUUUUAACCUAUGGAUCGAUGAUUAGGUGUGGGCUCCGAAAAAAUUGUUGGGAGAAACAUCUUAGGCGUUCCCUUGAUGACCUAUUACAUUGAUUGGAUUGCUUUGGAGGGGCUAAGGAAGUCAUUUUUUAAGUCAAAUAAGCGAAUCGGAGGAAUUUGCAAAUUUUUGCAACUUGUGAUGAGUAUUAACUGAUGGAUCGAUGAAUCGUUGCGUGCUCCAAAAAUAUUUUUGGGUGAAACUUAUUGAGUGGUCCCUUGACGACCUAUUAAAUGAAGGUUGGUAAUCAACUCUGAUACAUACAUAUGAUAUGGUUAAACACGAUUAGCAUACACAUAUCAGUUAAUUAAUUAAUUAAAUUGAUAAUAUGUUUUUCUGAUCUAACAUAAUCAUUUGAUACAUCAAAUUAUCUAUGAAAUAAUAUUUAAAAACUACCGUCAUUAGUUAUUAUAUCCACACUCAUAAUAUUUUCAAUAAUUUUGAGAUGUGGUUGUGACCUUUUUUUGUUCUUAAAUUUUUAUUCCACACUCAUGGUCAUAAAACAAUAUUACUAACAACAACAACAUAGCUAGCUGAAUUUCACAACUAAGAUCUAAGAGGAUAGAGUAUAACUAGUCACUAUCUCGGAGAGAUAGAGAAUUUAGUUUCAAAACAUCCUCGGUUUAAGUACAGUAAAUUUAAGUACAAAAAAGAAAAAAAUAGUGAAGAAAACAUAAUAAAGCAACUAUAAAGAAAAGCAAUGCAAAAUCUAACAACAAAAUAGUGCGAUAAUCGAAACACAAUAAAUAAUAAGUGAUGAUGAUAGAUAUCAAAAGUAAGAACUUUAAGAAUAUCAACGACAAACACCAACAUACCUAGACGGCUAGACCUUCAAAAUAAAAAAAAAAGCAAGACAACACUCUACUAUCUACUAACUUUCUGUCCUAAUAUAUGUGUCGUCCUCCGCACUUCAUAUCCAAGGUCACGUCUUCCGUAAUUUAAAGUUUUCAUCUCCUGUCUACUCACCUCUUUCAAUACUUCUUCGGCUUAUUAUAGUCAUUAUAGAGAUAUUUUACACCAUAAGUGAUCAAGUCAAUUUACUUGUGCGCGAUAUAGUAAUUGCCUAAGGCCAAACAUAAACGGACACAUUAAUUUUUUUUUAAAAGAAUAAUAUUUUUUACAAUUUAUUUUUUAAAUAUCUUGAGAUGUAGAGUUGUUAAUAAUUUUUAUAUAAUUGAUUUCUUCUUAUAAUUCUUUUUUAAUAAUAAUAUAAUCAAUAUAUUUAAUUUUAAUGAGACAUAAUACUCCAAAUAUAUCAAACUUCUUCUAAGGAUUCUUUCUUUUUAUAUAAAACAUUAAUUUUUUUUAUAAAUAAUAUUUAAUAUUUUUUUAUUAAUCUACAAUUUAUAUUUUUUUUUAAAAAAAAUUGAGGUCCCUCAAAUUUGGGUCCAACGCCAUUUUUUCGCAUAUCUUUUUGGUUGAGUACAUCAUAAGUAUAGUAAAAAAUUGACCUCUUAUAUGAAAUUAAAUAAUGUUACAAAUUGCACAUUUGUUUAUUAUUUAUUUUAUAAUUUAAUUUUAUGUGUGUUGCUUUCGAGUGCGAAAGAAGAAGAAUAUUAUUGGAACAUACACGAGAGACAUGACUUUAUAAUUUAUAACAGUAAGUUAAUUUUGUGGAUUAAUAGAAAUUGAAUCACAAAAUUCUCAAUGGCUAUAAAUAAGAGACUUAAUUGAGCAAGGAAAUACAAGUAAACAUAUAAUUCACUCUAUAUCUUAAGGCAAAUAAAUUAAACUAUGGCUGGAAAAAAUAUUUCUUUCCUUUUUGCUGCUCUUCUUGUGGCCAUUACAAGUUAAUAUAUAGUUUCAUUAAUUUCAAUCUUUCUUUAUAUACAUAUAGUAUAUAUUAAUAGAUAGGGGCGUGUUCAGUAUGGAGAAAAAUAUUUAAUGUUUCUAAUUCUUUUGUUUGGAUUGGUUAAAAAUUUAGAAAAAUAUUUUCUUUAGAAAAACAUACAAACUCCUUGAAAAGUAUUUUCACAAUGAAAGCAGAGAAAACAAGUCGCGUUUGUCUCCUCCCACCCGCACAACUCACCGCCGCUGCCAUAUCGGCAAAUUAGGAUAAUAUAUUUUUACUUGCAUGCAUACGUAACACAAGAAAAUAAGUAAGAAAUCAUUUAUUUUCGUAGAAAAUAUUCUUUUGCAAUAUAUUUUUCAUGAAAAAUAUUUUCAUUUCUAUCGAACACACCCAUAAUAUAACUAUCUUUAUUUGUAUUGUUUAUUGCAUAGUAUUUAUUCUCUCGAUCUGUCUCAAUUUUUGUGACGAUUAAUUAUAAUUUAAUUUUGAUUUUUGUGUUUGUUUAUGUGCAGUUACCUCUCCAACUAUGCAAGUGAUGGCAUUGAGAAACUUACCAGAAAAUGUGGAGGUUGUUGGACUAAAUUAUGUAUUGAUGAUCCCAAACAUUAAUCCAAGGCUCCAAACUUGUCUGAGACCUUGCAGAAUUGAUGCUGAUUGUUCUAAAGAUUGUUGGAUUUGUUGUCAAUGUAAUGGAGUUACUUGCUAUUAAUCGAUCGAUUAUCAUCAUAAUUUCAUAUCUCUUACUUAGAGAAUGAAAUGAAUGUACGUCCGUACGUACGUAUGUACGUGUGAUAUUUCAUAUUAAAACUAUGUUGUUGUUUGUUUUUUCAUGAACAUCAUGUCACUUGUAAGGUACACUACCUACUAGAAUAAGUGACUAAGUUAUCCCGUUGAAUAAGUACGUACGUACGUAUGUAUUGUGGGUGUAUGUUCUGUAUUGUAUUGUAUGAAUCUAUUUGUGUUUUAUUCCUCCUUUUUAUCGCCUUGAUUCUUGUUUAACCUAGCUAAAAUCUGAUCAUUUUAAGUUAUAAUAAUUAGAUUUGUUAAAUUAGAGUUACUUGCAAUUAAUCGAUAGUUCAUCGUUGUAAUUCCAUAUCUCUUACGUACUUAGAGAAUGAAAUGAAUCGUAAUGUACGUGUGAUAUUUCAUAUUAAGACUAUGUUGUUGUUUGUUUUUUCAUGACCAUCAUGUCACUUGUAAGAUAACUACGUACUAGAAUAAGUGACUAAGUUAUCCCAUUGAAUAAGUAUGUACGUACGUACGUGUAUUGUGUGUGUGUAUGUUCUGUAUUGUAUGAAUGUUGAUGUUGAGUGUCUUAAAGAUUGUUGGAUUUGUUGCAAAAUAAUGGAGUUACUUGCUAUUAAUCGAUCAAUCAUCAUCAUAAUUUCAUAUCUCUUACUUAGAGAUUGAAAUGAAUGUACGUACGUACGUGUGAUAUUUCAUAUUAAAACUAUGUUGUUGUUUGGUUUUUCAUGAGCAUCAUGUCACUUGUAAGGUAUAUUACCUACUAGAAUAAGCGAGUAAGUAUUUCAUUGAAUAAGUAUGUACGUACGUAUGUAUGGCGUGUGUUGUUAUGUAUUGUAUGAAUGUUGAUGUUGAGUGUCUUAAAGAUUGUUGGGUUUGUUGCAAAUGUUGUCACACCCCUUUUUUCAACACGAAAAUGAUUGGAUUUUAUGGUUCGAAAUUAUUUUUAUUAUUAAAGUAACAAAAUGAUGAAAAUCUGUUUUUAAAAUGGACUAUUGACAUUUUUUAUUCAGAGUCGCCACUUGACAUAAUCCGGUGUACCAAGUCACCUUUGGAAAAUCCUUUUCAAAAUAUUUUGACUCUUGAAACUGGUUUGCGAACAGAGAUUCCGGGUAAGAAAUUCUGUUGACCGAGGGGAAGGUGUUAGGCACCCCUCGAUCCCGUGGUUUGACCACGUUCGCUUUGUAGGGAGUAUCAGGUAACUUGACAUCAACGAGUGUAUAAACCACACGAAACACAUAAGGCUAUCAAUCAAACAAACACACCCAAACAAAUCCCCAAAAUAAUGUUUAGUCCAAUUAUACAGACCAAAGUAAAAAGAAAUACGAAAAUAUAAAUCCUAUUCUAACCUACCCUAAUCCUAACUACGCUCCCAUGCUACCCGAUGCCACGGGCCUUCAUCACGGACGUCCUCCGAGUAUAAAAUACUUCGGGGCAUUCCCCGGAGAAAAUAAUACAAGUGCUUCGGGGCAUUCCCGGCCAAAUGAUACAAUCGAAUCAAGUACGACAAACUUAGAAAAUAUUCAAUAAACAUUCCAUAUUCAAACAUUCAACGAAAAACUAAAUCCAAAAUUUUGCCUACCCGAACUUACAUUGCCUAUCCGUUUUCACAUGUCAUAACUCUUUCACGUUCACACAAUGUUUAUGCUUAUUCCGGAUUAACAAAAAUAAUAAUAAAUCCACGUUAAUCUAAUUCAACCCCUUUUAUCAAGUUCUCAAUUCCACCCCCCGCUAGCGUCGUUUUUAUCAAUCAACAAUCAACAUAUGAUCAAAUUCUUUCCUCAAACCACCAUAUCCAAAUCAACAAACGUCAUGAUCAACAUCAACAAUAAAACCAACAAACAUAAUAACAUCACACAUAAUCACAACCAAUUCGACACUCCAAGAUAAAUAAAAAAGAGAGAGGGUUAAGAAAUGGACCUUUCGAUAUCGAAUUUCAUUGAUAAAAUGAGUUAAGAAAACCCGAGUUUGGAAUCCUUGAUAGCACCUCAACGAUGAAUAAGCUCCAAACUCGAUAUUAGAAUAAUAGCCAAGCAGCUUCGAGACCAGCGAGUAUGAACUCCUAACGUAGGAUUUAAAUCACGAACGAGGACCCGAUUGACCAUGAAAUCAAUCGAAAUCUGAUAUCGACGAUGAACAAAAUAAAAGACGAACCCAAAAUCCCAACGAGCCAAUAGAAAACUAAAACCUGAUGUAGACCGAGCUCCGAUGAGCUCCGAUGAUGGCCGAAAUAGCGGGUCAAGAUGACACUGACGCGUUCUGAUGUUUCUAGGCCAGAUUCACUUCGGAGCCUGUAAGAAAACGAUGAGAUUUCUCUGAUUUCAAGACGGGUCAGAUAAGUCGACACACUGGAUGAACCUCCGACAAAGAAGUUCACCGGAAAAAUAAGCAACUCAGUGGAUUCUCGUUCUCGUCCCCUUCCCCAAUCUCCCUGUUUUAACCUCUCUUCCUCUUAUCGAUUUUUCUUUCUAUCUGGGUGUAUAUAGUGAGUGUGCCUUCAUACAAAAAUGAAAAGAAAUAAAGAAAAGAAAAAAAAUUGUGGUAUUGAUCUUCUCUAUUUUCUCUAUGAGGAUGAUGAAGAAGGAAAAGGGAACAAUCCAACAAAUAGCCCCCUUCCUAAUCUCUAUGUGCGUGUAUAUAUAUUUCUGUGAGUGGGGUGUGGGGCACGCGAGUGGGGUGAGGGGGUAGGGGUAAGAUAUCUUGAAAUUUCGUGGGAGGUUCCUCGUGGGACCCCCUGAUAUAUGUGAUGUUGUGUAUAUUAUAUUUAUAAAUAAAACAAAUGGAAAAUGGUCAGCAAAAUGAAAAAUUCUAAAUUGGAAAAAUAUCCUUGUGGGUCCCUCCAAGUUGUUAUCUUGGUGUGUAUGCAUAUUCUUUCUUUGUGGACAAGAAAAGGAGAGGGGGAGGGGGGUCACGUGGGUAUGGUGUCCUAAUUUUAUUGGAGGGGCUAUUAGGGUGUUGAAAAUAAGACAAAAAUUAUUAUGAUUUGUUAUUUAGAUAAUGACAAACUAAAUAAAUAGAUAAGUAAAAUGAUGAGGGGGUUAUUUAUUUUCUUGGGAAAAAAUUACCAAGCGGAUAGGGUACGUAGUAAAACGGGAUAAACGAUAAAAUUUGUGAAGGGACGAAAUUACAUGUCUACGUCAUGCCCCCUUUGAAGUAGACAACGAGACAAAAUUUUGUUCCGAUCAUUAUUCAAAACAAGAAACAAAAGGAAGAAAGACAACCGAGUCUUGGUGGACAUCCUACCUACCUAAGUUAUGAGGGAAUCAAGUGACAUGUAUCUCAAAGGAUUGGAAAGAGAUGGAUUAUACCGAGUUGGAGCGUCGAGUGAGGUUUCAUUGAGGUUCCGGCCCGCGGCUCUGUCAUUACAUAAAAAAAUAAAAAUUACAAGUUAAAACAUAAAUGGAAUUACAAAAUCCUAUCUAUGCAACUUUCCUUGACUCUUGACGUGAGUUUUAUCACCCUGUUCUUCAGGCGGGCUCUUAACUUGCAAUUUCUUUCAACUUGUUGCUUGGUUUUCCGUUGCUUCACUUCGUUGCUCGACUUUCAUUUAUUCGCCCUGCUCUUCAGGCGGGCUUCUGACUUGCCAUUUUUGUCCUUCAAUUUCAUCAACCUGUUCUUCAGGCGGGUUCCUAACUUGCAGUUUCUUCAAUUUCCUAUUUCAUCACCCUGUUCUUCAAGUGGGCUCCUGACUUACAGAUUCAUAACCCUGUUCUUCAGGCGGGCUCCUAAAAUCAAACUAACAACUAGAAACAAAAUUAUCCCUAACAAAGAUUAAGAUUAAGAGAGACUUUAUUUUUCUGAAAGUAAUGUUCCAUUUUUCAGGAGGGUCCUAAACAUAAAGUAAAAUCCUAUUCUCCAGGAGGGUCUUAAACAUAAAGUUAAAUCCUAUUUUACAGGAGGGUUCUAAACGGAAAGUAAAAUCCCAUUUUCCAGUAGGGUCCUGAACGGAAAGUAAAAUCCCAUUUUCCAGGAGGGUCCUGAACAAAAAGUAAAAUCUCAUUUUUCAGGAGGGUCCUGAACAGAAGAUAACAUCCCAUUUUCAGGAGGAUCCUGAACAUAAGGUAAAAUCCCAUUUUUUAGGAGGGUCCUGAACAGAAAGUAAAAUCUCAUUUUUUAGGAGGGUCCUGAACGAAAAGUAAAAUCCCAUUUUCCAGGAGGGUCCUAAACAGAAAGUAAAAUCCCAUUUUUCAGGAGGGUCCUGGACAGAAAGUAAAAUCCCAUUCUUCAGGAGGGUCCUGAACAAAAAGUAAAAUCCCAUUCUUCAGGAGGUCCUGAACAUAAGGUAAAAUCCUAUUUUUUAGGAGGGUCCUGAACAGAAAGUAAAAUUCCAUUCUUCAGGAGGGUCCUGAAUAGAAAGUAAAAUUCCAUUCUUCAGGAGGAUCCUGAACAGAAAGUAAAAUCCCAUUUGGAAAGUAAAAUCUCAUUUCCAGGAGGGUUCUGAAUAGAAAGUAAAGUCCCAUUUUUCAGGAGGGUCCUGAAUAGACAGUAAAAUCCCAUUUUUUAGGAGGAUCCUGAACGGAAAGAAAAAUCUUAUUUUUCAGGAAGGUCCAGAAUGAAAAGUAAAAUCCCAUUUUUCAGGAGGAUCCUGAACAGAAAGGAAAAUUCUAUUUUUCAGGAGGGUCCUGAAUAGAAGGUAACAUCCCAUUUUUCAGGAUGAUCCUGAACAUAAGGUAAAAUCCCAUUUUUCAGGAGGGUCCUGAACAAAAAGUAAAAUCCCAUUUUUUAGGAGGGUCCUGAACAGAAAGUAAAAUCUCAUUUUUUAGGAAGGUCCUGAACAGAAAGUAAAAUCCUAUUUUUUAGGAUGGUCCUGCACGGAAAGUAAAAUCCCAUUUUUCAGGAGGGUCCUGAACGAAAAGUAAAAUCCCAUUUUUCAGGAGGGUCCUGAACAGAAAGUAAAAUCCCAUUUUUCAGGAGGGUCCUGAACAAAAAGUAAAAUCUCAAGAUAUUCUUUCUCAAUGAUAGCUGAAUUUACUAAACAAAAACUUCACCCCUGUUUCAUCAAAGAAAGAAAAAUUAUUCAGUUAACUUAGUGGUGGCUUGCAGCACUUGGCUUUCCAGGCAUCUGCUCUAGUAGUUGUUCCUUUCGUCUUUGUUUCAAAUUGUUGACACUUGCCCCUGUCUUGUCGCAUCAUUGACCCAGACUAGAUCAGGAAAAUUCCUUUGACUCAAAUACCAAGAUUCUAUUUUACCAUGCCUCUGAGAUGCACCUUUUGACAUCUGAUACUCCCAUGAAUCUAGCAACCUGUCAGUUGAUAGACUACCUUUGCCUUGUGUUGAAUUAUGAUCAUGUUUCUCUCAUGUGCUGGUCCUUGGCUUUUUCUCAUACAAUUGGAAAUAAUGGUAGCAAGUUUUGAAAUCCUUUCUCGUUUGUUUUGACACAGACUUGACUUAAAAUGUAAAAAAAUGAUGGUGAGUUUUAUUUUGAUAAAUGACAUAAAAAGACAAAGUAUGAAUACGUAAAUGAAAGAAAAGGGCAAUGUCCCUUAUUCAAAAAGAAAACUUACCUAAAUACGGCAACCAACUCCAAUGAGCACGACAUACAUUUUGGAUUAAACUGCCUGAUCUUCCUAUCCAAACUUCCCAUUUGUUGUUGAGUUCAUGCCUUUGCCGCUAAGCCACUUCUUCAAAUCCAUUGGACUCAUAUAUCUCAUUCAAUUGAUGAUAUCUUAGAAGACUUUCGCCAACAAAUNNNNNNNNNNNNNNNNNNNNNNNNNNNNNNNNNNNNNNNNNNNNNNNNNNNNNNNNNNNNNNNNNNNNNNNNNNNNNNNNNNNNNNNNNNNNNNNNNNNNNNNNNNNNNNNNNNNNNNNNNNNNNNNNNNNNNNNNNNNNNNNNNNNNNNNNNNNNNNNNNNNNNNNNNNNNNNNNNNNNNNNNNNNNNNNNNNNNNNNNNNNNNNNNNNNNNNNNNNNNNNNNNNNNNNNNNNNNNNNNNNNNNNNNNNNNNNNNNNNNNNNNNNNNNNNNNNNNNNNNNNNNNNNNNNNNNNNNNNNNNNNNNNNNNNNNNNNNNNNNNNNNNNNNNNNNNNNNNNNNNNNNNNNNNNNNNNNNNCAAGAGGCUCAAACGACACUUGAAGUGGGGGUGGGACUUACAACUUUUGGAAUCGACUCAAACAACACAUUAACUCAUGCCCCAGUUUUGUUGACUGGGUGAUUCUAAAAAUAUUUAUUUGGUUGGACCGAGCCCUGAAUAGGGCAGCCUACGUAUCUCACCCCCGAGAGAGGAGAAUCAGGUCGCACGUAGUUCCAUCAGCUUGUUAUUUGUUUUGAUUUGAUUUUUUUUUCUUUUUUUUCUAUUUUCAAACUCUUUCUUUUAUUCUUAUUUUCCCGAUAUUUAUCUUUGACUCUAUUUUGAUUCCAAAAGAGGGAUAUGAAAGAAAAAUAAAACUAAGCUCAAACGGGGUAAACAAAGGAUGACACAAUAUUUGGAGAGUAGGAUGAAAUGCCUUCAUCAUAUCAAUCUUUAAAAAUGCAAGUACUAAUCAUGCCAUAGAACCAACAAGGAGUAAAAAUAUCAUACAUAGUGUCUUUUGACUGCAUUUGCAUUGAUAGCUAUUUCUGCCAUUUUGCCUUCAAUAUCUGUGAAAUAUAAGGCUCCAUUGGGCAACACUUUCUUUACAAUAAAGGGACCUUGCCAAUUUGGGGAGAACUUGCCUUUCGCUUCAACCUGAUAAGGAAGGAUACGCUUUAAUACCAACUGACCAACUUCAAAAUUCUUGGGUCAUACCUUUUUGUUACACACUCGAGCCAUUCUCUUCUGAUACAAUUGGCCAUGACAUACCGAUGUCAGUCUUUUUUUAUCAACAAACUCAACUGUUCCAGUCGAUUUUUGAUCUAUUCAUCAUCAUCAAUCUCUGCUUCAACAAUGACUCAAAGAGAGGGAAUUUCAGCUUCUGCGGGCAUGACUGCUUCUGUUCCGUACACCAAUAAAUAUGGAGUUGCCCCUAUUGAAGUGCAAACAGUAGUGCGAUAACCUAGCAGAGCAAAUGAAAACUUCUCAUACCAUAGUCUAGACCCUUGCACCAUUUUUCGCAGUACCUUCUUGAUAUUCUUAUUGGCGGCUUCCACAGCGCCAUUUUCCUUUGGACGAUAUGGAGUGGAAUUUUGAUGUACGAUCUUAAACUGUUGGCACACUUCUUGAAUCAAAUGACUGUUGAGAUUGACAACAUUAUCUGUAAUGAUCAUCUUUGAAAUUCCAAACCUAUAAAUGAUGUUGGCAUGAACGAAAUCUACUACCACUUUCUUUGUCACUGACUUGAAAGUUACUGCUUCUACCCACUUUGUGAAGUAAUCAAUGGCCACCAAAAUAAAUCUAUACCCAUUUGAUGCCUUUGGCUCAAUCAGUCCAAUCACGUCUAUUCCCCAAGCUACGAAAGGCCAUGGAGUAGACAUUGUAUGCAACUCAACAGGAGGAGAAUGUAUUAGAUCACCGUGUACUUGACAUUGAUGACAUUUUUGAAAAAAUCGAAUAAUAUCCCUCUCCAUAGUAAGCCAAUAAUAACCUGCUCUGAGAAUCUUCAUAGACAAGACAUAACCGUUCAUAUGAGGCCCUCAUUCUCUGGAAUGAAGUUCAACCAUGAUUGCCGAAGCUUCUUUUGCAUCAACACACCUCAAAAGUCUCAGAUCCGGGUUCUCUUGUAUAAGAUUCCCCUAUUUAAGAAAAAUCCACUUGACAAACGCCUAAUAGUCCUCUUUUGAUCAUUGGUGGCAUGUGUUGGGUAUUCUCUUGACUGAAUGUAUCGCUUGAUAUCAAAGAACCAAGGUUCUUCAUUGAGCUCUUCUUCAACCGUAUUAUCGUAAGCAUGCUGAUCACGACUCUGUAUAUGCACUGGAUCGAUGUAGGCUUUAUCCGGAUGUUGGAGCAUUGAAGACAGAGUGGAUAAAGCAUCAACAAUCUCAUUAUGAAUCCUUGGAAUAUGCCUAAAUUUUACUGACACAAAUCGUUAACAUAGCUCCUGCAAGCAUUGUCAAUACAGUAUGAGCUUCAAAUCUCGCGUCUCCCAAUCGCCUUGAAUUUGAUGGAUGAGAAAAUUUGAAUCCCCCAACACUAAUAGUUCCUGGACUCCCAUAUGAACAGCUAGCCUCAAAUGCAGAAUGCAAGCUUCAUAUUCCGCUAUGCUAUUGGUACAAUAAAAUCAACGUUGUACUGUUACCGAAAAAUGUUUCCUCACCUCAGAGAUAAGAACUGCACCUAUUCUGACUCCUUUCAUAUUGAUAGCUCCAUCGAAGAACAAUUUCCAACCUGGAUCAGCAUUUAUAACGACUUCAUCGACACACAACACUUCUUCAUCAGAAAAAUAUGUCUUUAAUGACUCGUACUCUUCAUUAAUGGGAUUCUCAGCAAGAUGAUCUGUGAAGGCUUGGGCUUUCAUGGCAGUUCGAAUCACAUAUACAAUGUCGAACUCGGUAAGCAAUAUUUGCCACUUUGCCAAACAACCAGUCAGCAUAGGCUUCUGAAAGAUAUACUUCAAAGGAUCCAUGCAGGAGAUAAGAUAAGUAGUGUAGGACGAAAGAUAAUGCUUCAACUUCUGUGCUACCCAAAUUAGGGCGCAACACGUCCUUUCAAGAAGAGAGUACCUGGCCUCAUAUGUUGUGAACUUCUUUCUAAGAUAAUAAAUAGCCUGCUCUUUUUUGCCCGUGAUAUCACAUUGACCCAGGACACAACCGAAAGAAUUAUCCAUGACCGAUAAAUAUAAGAUCAAAGGCCUACCAGGCUCCGGUGGUACCAGCACGGACGAAUUUGACAGAUAUCUUUUGAUUUUGUCGAACGCUUCCUGACAUUCUUUAGUCCACUCUACUGCAACAUUUUUUUUAGCAACUUGAAAAUGGGCUCACACAUGGUUGUGAGUUGAGCAAUAAACUUGCUGAUAUAGUUCUGUUUACCAAGCAAACUCAUCACUUCUGUCCUAUUCUUGGGCGGGGGCAAAUCCUGAAUGGCUUUGAUUUUCGAGGGAUCCAAUUCAAUUCCUCGAUGGCUGACUACAAACCCCAACAGCUUUCCAGCCGGAGCUCCAAACACACAUUUUGCCAGGUUGAGCUUGAGAUUAUACCUGUGAAGCCUUUCAAAGAACUUUCUUAAAUCUUUAACAUGGUUAGCCUAACUUUUAGACUUAAUAAUCACAUCAUCUACAUAGACCUCAAUCUUCUUAUGCAUCAUAUCAUGAAACAUAGUGGUCAGGGAUCUCAUGUAUGUUGUUCUAGCAUUCUUCAAACCAAACGGCAUCACUCGAUAGCAAUAAGUCCCCCGUGGUGUGAUAAAAGAUGUCUUUUAUACGUCUUCAUCAUCCAUAAUGAUUUGGUGGUAUCCAGGAUAGCAAUCCUCUCGUGUUUAGCACAAUUGUCCAGCAAAUUAUGGAUGUUGGGCAACGAAAAUCAUUCUUCAAACUUGCUCUAUUCAAAUUACGAUAAUCAACACAUACUCGAAUUUUGCUAUCUUUCUUUGGGACAGGAACAACAUUGGAUAACCCGUAGGAUAACGAGCCACUCGAAUGACUUCGGCUUCAAGUUGUUUCAUGAUUUCUUCUUUGAUUUUGAUACUUACAUCAGUUUUAAACUUCCCUAACUGCUGUUUCACAGGGGGGAAUGCGGGAUCAGUUGGCAAUUUAUGGGACACUAAUUCGGUGCUUAGACCAGGCAUAUCAUCAUAAAACCAUGCAAAAACAUCCUUAUAAUCAAUUAAUGCUUAAAUCAUUCCAUCUUUUAGCUGUGGCAAAGCAUAUACACUGAUUUUAGUUUCCCUAGCAUCUUCUUGAUUCCCUAGAUCAAUUGGCUCAAUUUCAUUCAAAUUAGGAUUUGGCUUGUCUUCAAACUGUUCCAACUCUUUGCUUAUUUCCUCUAGUGCCUCUUCUUCAUCAUAUUCCCCCUCUUAAUUCAUUAUAUCUUGAUUAGUUUGGAUUUUAAGAUCAGGCUAAAAAUUUUGCAUGUAUGUCAUGUCAUUAGAAUCAACAUAAAGAGAACUGUAUAAAGAAAAAGACAAAAACAAAAUAUAUUAGAUACGAAACAAAAGGGACAUUGUAUUUCAUUAAAAGGAAAGAUAUGAGAGUUUUAACAUAAAUGCCAACAUAACAUAAAUAAACUAAAAUUUGAAUUACAACCCUGAAAUAACUUGAAUAAAUAGAAAGAAAAACAAAACAAACUACCAAAACUCCCUCCUGACAGGGAGAGGAGUGACCUCCUAAUUAUUCAGCCGGAUAGCUGGACCUAUGAAUGGCAUGUCUGCCUUACUGGUACUUUCUCCUACUUCAACCAUGUCAACUUCGAUCAAUAGGUUCUGGAAGUCAUCAAUCAAUUCAUCUCCAAACUCUAUAGGUGCCACGACACUACCCUUGAUAAAUGACUUACUGAGUAGGGGCACUGGGCGAGGGAGUGACCAUGUUUCUUUUUUCCUUCCCUUGGCCUUCUUCAAAUCUUCAGUCGUAGGUUCAAAUCCUAAACCAAAAGUGACCAUGUUAUCAUUCGGACAUAUGGGAUGAACCAUACCAUGCAGAGAUACUCCCAAACCCUUCCCUGGCACAAAUCUAUAUUUCAAAAGCUCACUCACCAUCAUGAUAGAAGUGGAAGACAAUUAUGGUCCCAAAACAACCCGUCCUUCAAGGAUAUGAUCUACUGGCACUGUAUCAAAAGUCUGAUAGACAAAUUUCUCCUUUACAUUGUUUGCUUCAAUUAGAGACAUGGGAAAAUCUUCGUAGGCAGACAAAUCCUCUUCACCAUGAAUAACCACUUCUAUCCUGUCGUGCUCAAACUUGAUCAUCUGGUGCAAUGUAAAUGCAAUCGCCUUGGCCUUGACUUCCUCAAACUUUCAGGCACGAAGCAUCUUCCUGAUCGAGUUAAACCCCCUACCUCAUCUACAUCUUCCACUACUUCCUUCCCCUGAUAGAUUAUCACAGUCCGUUUAUAGUUCUAGGGAAAUUUUUUAUAUCAACUAUCGGAGGUUGGAUCACUGGUUUGAUGAUAAUAGGCACUAUAAAUGCCCCUUUCACCGUCAAGAUAGGCUUACCCGGAGCUCCUACCACCGUUAACUUAGGUUUAUCCUAACUUAAAUCAACAUAUCUUCUGGCACGUUGCACUAUGAUCAUGGGUUUCUUUGUGCUUUCUUGGGCUUUAUCUUCUCCCAUUCCUUCAUGUCUUAAUGACAUUGCUUUCAAUGAAUCUUGCAUAUUCACUGAUUUGUCCUUAUUGGUCUAUAUUCUGACAAUAUGCUUAUAAUACCUUAAAAACUCUUUCACAUAAUAUAUCAGUUCUAACAUAUUGGUUUCAGCAUGGGUUGGCAACGGAUUUUGGUUAAUGUUUAGAGCUUCUGGGUCCUGGACCAGAAUUUGAUUUGCAUUAAUUAAAUCUUGGAUAGCUCUCUUCAAAUGCCAUCAUUUCUCGAUAUUGUGGCCUGGCAUGUUAGAACAAUAUGUACACCUUAAAGAAUAAUCGAGAUUCCUGGGAGGUGGAAUUGAAAGCCUUCCUAAAAUCGGGCUUAAGACCUUCGUUUUUCUCAAUCUAUCAAACAAGCUAGCAUAUGUCUCCCCGAGAGGCGUGAACUAAUUUUUGACCGAUUUUUCUUUCUUGUACUCGGGCCUAGAUUGGAAACUGGGUCUAGAGGGAUUUUGGUAAUUUGGUGGAGCAGAUGAACGAUUUUAUAGAGCUUGCACAUGCCAUUAUAGGUAAGAAGGGUUUUGGGCAUAUGGUUGUGCGCUAUAUACUGGGUGAGGAGGGGUGGAAUAACAUAUGAUGGGUUUUGCAGAGGGUAGUAAUGGUGGGGAGGAAUAUAUGGAGCUUGGACAUAGGUUGGGCUUGGGAUUGAGAAUAGGGGCGAGGCGAUCUUUUAGGAUAAGAAUGGGGUCUAGUAACAAUGGUCUCCAUGUCCUUUUUUUUUUUUACCUCUGAACGCGCUAGAUCCACCUUGCAUCGCUUGUGUGGUGGCUUUUAAUGCGGUAAAACUCACUAUUCAGUCGGUCUUGAUUUCGUCCUCUAUCAUCUCUCCCAUUUUGAUGACUUCAAUAAAAGACUUUCCCAUUUCCAGAAGUAAAUAUUGAAAAUAAGUCUCAUCAUGUGCCUGAAUGAAAACCUCUACCAGCUUACUCUUCUUCAUUGGAGGAUUUACCCUGGUGGCCUGUUCACGCCACCUUAUCGCGUAUUCACUAAAGCUUUUAGUUUUUUUCUUCUUUAUGUUGCCGAAGGAUUUUUUGUCAGGAAUCAGGUAGACAUUAUACUGAAAAUGUUUCACAAACUCAGAAGCUAAGUCAUCCCAGCUGAUCCACUUAUCGAUAUCUUGAUCGGCAAAUUAUUCUGAAGCCAGAUCGAAAAGAUUUUCGCCAAAGAAAGCCAUAAGCAACUCCUCCCUUCCCCCUUACAGCCCUCAACUGGUUGCAAUAACGUCUCAAGUGUGCUACAGGAUCACCGUGCGCAACAUACUUCUCGAUCUUAGGCAUUUUAAAAUCGAGGGGAAGGUUGACGUCUAGGAAUAUACAAAGAUCUUUAUAGGAAACACUCUUGUAACCUCUGGUUCCCUGCAGAUUCCUCAUGGCCUGUUCCAAAAUUUUCAAUUUUUGUGAUAUGACCUCCUAUUCCUCUAUUGUGAUAGGUUUCUCCGUAUCAAAUGGAAAUACAGAUGGCUGAGUAUACCCAUAUGGUUAAUUCAUUCUCAAAGUAGGCUCCGGGGUAUAAUACUGACUAUCUGAAACCUUCAAUUCUGGCUCACUGGCAGACCGAGAAAGCACCAUUAUCGGACACACAACAUAUGUGGGAGCUUCAGGUGGUGGCGGAGCCAUGAACACAGGAGCUUCCGGUGGCGCCGGCUGAGUCAUGGGCCUUGGUUGAGGAAAUGCCAGGGGAACACUAGAAGUGCCAGGGUAAUAUUGCCGUGGAGUGAAUCCUGGUGCGUGCUUCGAUGACUUAAUGGGAACAGAGAAUUGUACCUGAGAGAGCGGUGGGCAAUUGGGGAUAUUCCCAAGAUCUUCAUGAAGUGGAGGAGGAGGCAAGCCACUAGCCCAUGCUCGGUGCAGAUCUAGCAAUUGUUGUCUAAGUCUUAAUACCUCAUCAUUGCGUUCUGAACUUUCUUCCCUGGGAUCCUGUUCAGGGUCAAUAAGUAAAUUUUCAAUCUCCCUACUAGCCAUGGCAAGCUUCGCUUUUGAUCUAGUGAAGUACGGAUGACUAGCCAGAGUUCUACAAACCAACCACUUAUCUGAAAGAACAUGCUCAUCAAAGGCAAAACCCGUUAGGAUUAGGUCAGGCAACAAGCAUAGAAAUCACAUUGUAUACAUCCUAGGUUUAUGCACAUUUCUACCGGCCUUUGAGGGUAAUAAGGUCAUUUUAACAUCAUCCCAAUUUCCCCAUUACAUUAUCACACCUCGUUCUUUCUGUUUUUCACCUUCAUUUCUCUCUUCUUUUGCAUCAGUCUCUUCUCUUCCUCUUUUCUUCUCUUAUUGCUCUUUCUUUUUUUCCUGCUCUCACGAUCUCAUUUCCUUUUAUCAUUCUUAUGGCUUUUAUGUUUCUUUAAAAGAGGAAAAUUGGGAAAAAUCAAAGAAACAAAACGAUUAGAUCGAACCCAAAAGUACAUGAAUCAGAUCUUGCGUAGUUCGAGCAAUGCAUGAAUAAACACCACAAAGUUGAAGAUUUGUUUUUUUAGAGAAAGAACACACAAAAGGAAACAAGUCUAGAACUUCACUACAUUUCAUAAAAGAGACAAUUGAAACAAACUUCGAGUUUAAGAAAGCUUAAAAACUGAUCAACAAAGAAUAAACAACAUUCCAGACCCAUAAGAUAACAUGAGUAAUACUCCUAGUAAAGACUCUUAACGUUUAAAACAAACUUGACCCCGACUGAGCAAAGACACAACAAUACAAGGACAGAAAGAUAAAGGACUCAAAGUAAAUAAAAGAUAAGAGUUGCUCCUUCACAUUGGUGCGCUGUGGGAUGACCCUGGAUGAGAUGGACCUAUCUGUGAAGUUAUCUUUCUCCCAUUCAAACUUUGUAGCAUAUCCUGCAAAGACACCCUGAUAUUUGGGAAGAAAUUUCUGGCACGUAUCCCCUCCUCAUGGAGAAUGCACCUUGAGAGAUUGUGCUGACACCUUUCUACAGUCUUGAGCAAAUCUGAUAACUGAACUCUCAGUGUCUCCACUUUGGCCCCCUCACUUUCAUCCUGACUGUCAUCGACAAUACAUUCUUCAUGUAUUCUUCCUCUUAAGUUGUAAGGGAAAUGGCCUACUAAUGAUCUCAUAUCUUUAAGUGUACCCUAGAUUAUACAGACCUACUUUGAGAGUAUCGACACCUAGCUUUAUUGCGUGAUUCCAGAAUUCUUCGUAUUUACUUUUGCCUAAGGCUUGAUCCUUAAAAUGAUCUACAUCCUUCAGAAGGUCCAUUACCGGUGGAACGUCCUGCAGUCUACCCAACUGGCGCAUUACCCUAAAAGAAGAGUACGGGCUGGUGCAAUUGAUUCCUAACAAGACUAAAAGAGGUUGCAUCCGAUAACCACACAAGAUUAUUUUUGGACGAAACCAUAGAUAGGUCCACAGAAUGUUGUCUUCAGUUCUUGAUUCAAGAAGUUCAGCCCAAGCAUCAAUCCCUAUCGGCAGCGAGAACUUAUCAAAACACAUUCUCUGAUUCAUAGCGUUCACUCGCUCAGGCAUACAAUGAUCAAUCACAUCCAACCUAAUCAAAGAAGGCUCUUGCAAGUGCUCCAUCAUCCACAAUUGCAAUAUCAGGUUGCUUUCCUCAAAGAAUCUUAUCCCGCCCUUCACCUCGGUUAAAGCUUUAUAUAUUUCUGCCAAGAUCAUAGGUAUGAGUGUGAAUGUUUUCCCUAGAUUUUUAUGAAAUAAGGCCAUCACUACAAUCUGCAAGCGAGUAUUAACCCGUCUUUCUUCUAAUGGGAAGGCCAAAAUGCCCAACAAGGUGAAAGCAAAGACUUCUAGACGACGUUUCUCCCAAUUCUUCUUGGUUGUAUAGAACUCAUCCCAAAAUCAAUCAAAACCAUCUGAAGGCUCAAAUCGAGCAUACAAAUAAUCAAAGGAGACCCAAGAUUUGUUAAGGCAUGUCAAGUGGUUAUUGUCCUUUAAACCAUAACCAUAAAUAAACCGUGUGGGAGAAUAAGUCCGUGCCCGAAUUAUUGUUUUCUUAAUGUAAGGCAACUUAAAGAAACCAGAUAUCUCUACCAUAUUAGGCGUCAUUUCACAAUUUCCAAACCUAAACACCAAAUAGCUUGGAUCCCAAAAUGUCAAUAUAGCCUCGAUCAGGUCUGGGCAGGGCGUAAGAUCUAGGAAAGAAGUGAGAGUGCCUAACUUCUUUGCCAACCCCUAUUGCUCGACGUAGUUAAAUGUGCCCCACCAUUUGAUUAACUUUUUGGCCACCUUGACAACCAUCCGGACUCUGGACUUUGUGGACAGAUCUAUCCUGUAAUGACACAUGAGAUAUUAUGAUUCCAAUUCAUGAAUAGUAUCACUGAAUAAAUCAGCCUACUUGGCUAAGACUUGCUAACAACACCAAAUUAUGAGGAAAAAGACCUAGGCUAAGGCUAAGACAAAGGCAAAAAGAUAAAGAUUAUCGGACCCACCGAGGGUUGCCUACGUAUCUUGCCCCCUAGGGACGGGAAUCAGGUAUGCGUAGUUCGUCCAGGUUGGACAAUUAAGGAUUAAAAUAAACUAAGACUUGACUGGAGAGACGCGAUUACAGACGGACGAUGAGAAAUAAAAUCUUUUUGGGUUUUUUAAUUAGACACUUCAUAUAACAUUGACAUGAACAACUAUGACAGAAAAAUCUUUUUUGUAUUUUUAAGAAAAUGAGUGUGAAAGGUAAAAAAUCUUUUUGAAUUUUUGGAUUGUGAAAAACAAAAGCCAUAAAGAACUCUAAAAACUACGAAACUCUUUUUUUUUACUCCUUUUUUUUUACUCACUCUUUUCAUUGCCUACAUAUUUUAUUUAUAACACAUGUUUUCCCCAAAUUUGUCCGUCAAAUGACCCCAUUACCCUCAAAGGUCCAACAUUUAGCACGUAGGGAUGCGUCAAAGAUGAGUCUCCUACAAAGGAUCAAAUAGGCCCCACUAGGUCUAAAUAUGAUGCACAUAAGUAUGACCUAAAGGCUGACCUACACUGGGGUUUACUAACAAGGCUGUUCAGGGGAACGUAUGGUCGAUAGUGACUGUUUUGGCUGUCCACCUACUCCAUACCAGCCAACGGCUCCCCCUCUAAGAUAAGGGUGACUCAACUAUAGGUCGUGUACACAGCGUGUACUACAGUACUUGUUGCAGAAAGAAUUGACUUGGGUUAUGCACAUGAUGCCAGAUAUAAAGCAGUAACACAUAGGAAAACUGUAAACAAAGAGUGCAUAAGCAUGCCACAAUGAUAAAACAAUACAAACAGUCACACAAACACGUUUAUACACCCAUAAUGUCAAACUAAGCCGAUAUAACUCCAAAAAGAAAUAAGUUCGAAUUUUGAAAAGUCCUCACAGAGUCGCCAAAACUGUCACACCCCUUUUUUCAACACGAAAAAGAUUGGAUUUUAUGGUUCGAAAGGGUUUUUAUUAUUAAAGUGACAAAAGGAUGAAAAUCUAUUUUAAAAAGGGACUAUUGACAUUUUUUAUUCAGAGUCGCCACUUGACAUAAUCCGGUGUGCCAAGUCACCUUUGGAAAAUCCUUUUCAAAACAUUUUGACUCUUGAAACUGGUUUGCGAACAGAGAUUCCAGUUAAGGAAUUCUGUUAAACCGAGGGGAAGGUGUUAGGAACCCCUCGAUCCCGUGGUUUGACCACGAUCGCUUGGUAGGGAGUAUCGGCUAACUUGACAUCAACGAGUGUAUAAACCACAUGAAACACAUAAGGUAAUCAAUCAAACAAACACACCCAAACAAAUCCCCAAAAUAAUAUUUAGGCCAAUUAUACAGACCAAAGUAAAAAGAAAUACGAAAAUAUAAAUCCUAUUCUAACCUACCCUAAUGCUAACUAUGCUCCCAUGCUACCCGAUGCCUCGGGCCUUCAUCACGGACGUCCUCCGAGUACAAAAUACUUCGGAACAUUCUCCGGAGAAAAUAAUACAAGUACUUCGGGGCAUUCCCCGGCUAAAUGAUACAAUUAAAUCAAGUACGACAAACUUAGAAAAUAUUCAAUAAACAUUCCAUAAUUCAAAUAUUCAACGAAAAACUAAAUCCAAAAUUUUGCCUACCCGAACUUACAUUGCCUAUCCGUUUCCACAUGUCAUAGCUCUUUCACGUUCACACAAUGUUUAUGCAUAUUCCGGAUUAACAAAAAUAAUAAUAAACCCACAUUAAUCUAAUUCAACCCCUAUUAUCAAGUUCUCAAUUCCACCCCCCGCUAGCGUCGUUUUUAUCAAUCAACAAUCAACACAUGAUCAAAUUCUUUCCUCAAACCACCAUAGCUAAAUCAACAAACAUCAUGAUCAACAUCAACAAUAAAGCCAACAAAUAUAAUAACAUCACACAUAAUCACAACCAAUUCGACACACCAAGAUAAAUAAAAAAGAGAGGGGUUAAGAAAUGGACCUUUCGAUAUCGAUUUUCGUUGAUAAUAUGAGUUAAGAAAACCCGAGUUUGGAAUCCUUGAUAGCACCUCAAUGAUGAAUAAGCUCCAAACUCGAUAUUAGAAUAAUAGCCAAACAGCUUUGAGACCAGUGAGUAUGAACUCCUAACGCAGGAUUUAAAUCACGAACGAGGACCCGAUUGACCAUGAAACCAAUCGAAAUCUGAUAUCGACGACAAAAAAAAUAAAAGACGAACCCAAAAUCCCAAUGACCCAAUAGAAAACUGAAACCUGAUGUAGACCGAGCUCCAGUAAGCUCCGAUGAUGGCCGAAACAGGGGGUCAAGAUGACACUGACGCGUUCUAAUGUUUCUAGGCCAUAUUCACUUCGGAGCCUGUAAGAAAACGUUGAGAUUUCUCUGAUUUUAAGACGGGUUAGAUAAUCGACACACUGGACGGAUCUCCGGCAAAGAAGUUCACCAGAAAAAUAAGCAACUCAGUGGAUUCUCGUUCUCAUCCCCUUCCCCGAUCUCCCUAUUACAACCUCGCUUCCUCUUAUCGAUUUUUCUUUCUAUCUGGGUAUAUAUCGUGAGUGUGCCUUCAUAAAAGAAAUGAAAAGAAAUAAAGAAAAAAAAAUUAUGGUAUUGGUCUUCUCUGUUUUCUCUACGAGGAUGAUGAUGAAGAAGCAAAAGGGCACAAUCCAACAUAUAGCCCCCUUCCUAAUCUCUAUGUGCGUGUAUAUAUAUUUCUGUGAGAGGGGUAUGGGGCACGCGAGUGGGGUGAGGGGGUAGGGGUAGGAUAUCUUAAAAUUUCCUGGGAGGUUCCUCGUGGGCGCCCCUGGUAUAUGUGAUGUUGUGUAUAUUAUAUUUAUAAAUAAAACAAAUGGAAAAUGGUCAGCAAAAUGAAAAAUUCUAAAUUGGAAGUAUAUCCUUGUGGGUCCCUCCAAGUUGUUAUCUUGGUGUGUAUGUAUAUUCUUUCUUUGUGGACAAGAAAAUGAGAGGGGGAGGGAGGUCACGUGGGUGUGGUGUCCUAAUUUUAUUGUAGGGGUUGUUAGGGUGUUGAAAAUAAGACAAAAAUUGUUAUGAUUUUUUAUUUGGAUAAUGAAAAGAUAAAUAAAUAGAUAAGUAAAAUAAUGAGGGGGUUAUUUAUUUUCAUGGGGAAAAAUUACUACGUGGAUAGGGUAUGUAGUAAAAUGGGGUAAACGAUAAAAUUUGUGAAGGGACGAAAUUACGUGUCUGCAAAUGUAAUGGAGUUACUUGCAAUUAGUCGAUCAAUUAUUGUUGUAAUUCCAUAUCUCUUACAUACGUAGAGAAUGAAAUGAAUGUACGUACAUAUGAUAUUUCAUAUUAAAACUAUGUUGUUGUUUGGUUCUUCAUGAGCAUCAUGUCACUUAUAAGGUAUACUAUCUACUAGAAUAAGUGACUAAGUUAUCUUAUUGAAUAAGUAUGUACAUACAUAUGUAUUGUGUGUGUAUGUAUGUUUUGUAGUGUAUGAAUGUUGAUGUUGAGUGUCUUAAAGAUUGUUGGGUUUGUUAUAAAUGUAAUGGAGUUACUUGCAAUUAAUCGAUCGAUCAUCGUUAUAAUUCCAUAUCUCUUACGUAUCUAAAGAAUGAAAUGAACGUACGUACGUGUGAUAUUUUGUAUUAAAACUAUACUUUUCUUUGUUUUUCAAGAGCACCAUGUGACUUGUAAGAGAUAUACAAUCUACUAGAAUAAGUGACUAAGUUAUCCCGUUGAAUAAGUAUGUACAUACAUAUAUAUUAUUUGUAUGUAUGUUUCUGUACUGUAUGAAUGUUGAUGCUAAGUGUGUUAAAGAUUGUUGGGAUUGCUGCAAAUGUAAUGGAGUUACUUGCAAUCAAUCGACUGAUCUCGUCAUAAUUUCGUAUCUCUUACUUAGAGAAUGAAAUAAACAAACGUGUGUGUGAUAUAUCAUAUUGAAACUAUAUUGUUGUUUGGUUUUACAUGAGCAUCGUGUCACUUGUAAGGUAUACUACCUACUAGAAUAAGUGACUAAGUUAUUUUGUUGAAUAAGUAUGUACGUACGUAUGUAUUUUGUGUGUGUAUAAUCUUUAUUGUAUAAAUGUUGAUGAUGGACGAUGUCUUGAAGUUGUUGGAUUUGUUCCAAUGUAAUGGAGUACUUGCAAUUUAUCGAUUGACUAACCAUUGUUGUAAUUUUCUAUCUCUUACGUACCUAGAGAAUGAAAUGAAAGUACGUACGUACGUUGUAGACACGUAAUUUUAUCCCGUAAAAAUAUUUCUUAUUUCGUUAUCACACACUUUAACCCCCAUUUUUAUAAUUUUCCACAAGAAAAAAAAACAAAUAAAAUAACCACUUCAUUUUAUUUAUUUAUUUAUUUAUUUAAAUAACAAAUCCUAAAAAAUUUUGGCUUCUUUUAAAACUUCCCAACAACCCCUCCAAUAAAAAGACAACACCUCACCUAACUACCCUUCCCAUCCCUAUACCCAUACACCUCACCUAUUUCUUUCUUUACACUUUUUAUUUCUUGGAAAAAAAUAAGAGUAGGACAAUUCUAUUAGGAUGGGGCCACGGAUUUGGAUCCAUUCUUCACAUAUGUACACCUAAUCAUCAUCUUCAUUGGGAGGAAAGGGAGAGAGAGAAAAGAACGGAGGGGGUCAUCAUCUUCAUUGGAGAGACGCCACUUUGAAGAGGGGAUCUCCAUUUUUAUUUUCCUUUUGCUCUUCACCUUCACACAGAGUAAAAUCCACCACUCCCUCACGGAAUGCACACACACACACACACACCUCUCACUGAUCUGAGAAAACACACAUCUACAUACGAAUUAACACAUACAUACAGAAAAGGUAUAGAGAGAGAGAGCUGCGAGAUACGGUGAGAAGAGUCUAGAUCGGUAGAGAGCAACGAAGAGAGAAAAUAGGCGAGGUAACGAAAUGAAUGGUACAGUCGCUGGCGCUGGUGUCUCACAUGACACACAAUUUCUAUAUUCAGAACACUGUUCCGGCGACGUUCAGUUGGAACUGAGUUUUUUGGCUAGCUCUUCGCCGGAAUCGAUUAGUUGUUAUCUGGGUUCAUUGAUUUUCAUACUGAUUUUUGGGAUUUAGCUUCUGUCCCAAUCGAAUCGUCCUUCUUUAUCUUUGGGUUUCAAAUUUCCCAAUACCGUGAUUGGUUCAUCGCUAUUGAGGUAUUCGUCUUGGGGUUUCAAGUCCGGGUGUUCUUAAACUUUAUUAUCAACGAAACUUUCUUCAAAGGUCCAUCUCUUAACUCUACUUUUUAAUUGUCUCGAAUGUGGCUAUGUCAUGAUUUUGUAUGUGGUUUUGAAUAUUGUCUGUAGCAUUAACCAUCGUUGUGGGUAUGAAUGAUUAUGUGCUUAAUAUGUUUGAAUUGUCGUUGGGCGGAUGUAUGGAUAUUGGUUUUGAGACUGUGAAGGGUGAUUUGAACUGAGGAAUUUGUUAAUCAUUCAUUGUUUAAAGGAAUCCAAUUGAGGGGUGGGAUUAAGAAAUUGAUAAAAAGUUGAACGUAGAUAAAUUUUGGGUUUGUUGUUGAUUUGCUCGGAAUACGCAUAAAUAUCGUUGAAACAUAUAGGCAAAUGUCGGUUUGGGUAGGCAAAACUUAGGAGUAAUGUUUUUAUUAAAUGUUUUGAAUGUUUAAUGUGCGUGUGAAUGUUUGUUUCUAGUUUAUCGUAUUUAAUUCAAAUGUAUUUAUUUAGAUGGGGAAUGCCUCGAGACACAUUAUAUUUAUUCACCGGGGAAUGAACCGACAUACUAUGUUGACAGAAUACGUUCAUGAGGAAGGUCCGAGGCGUAGGGUAAAGCAUGGGAGCGUAGUUGAGAUUAGUGUAGGUUAGAUAGGAUUUAUUUUCACAUUUUCUAUUUUUGGACUGGACACUAUAUUUUUGAUUCGUUUUGUUUUGUUUGUUUGUUUGAUUGUUACGUGUUUUGUAUGGUUUGUACAUUUGUAAUGUCAAAAUUAGCCGAUAUGCUCCACCAAGCGAUCGUGGUCGAACCACGGGAUCGAGGGGUGCCUAACACCUUCCCCUCGGUCAACAGAAUUCCUUAGCCAGAAUCUCUGUACUCAAACCAGUCUUAAAGAGUCAAAUUAUUUUGAAAAGGAUUUUUCAAAGGUAACUUUGCACACCGGAUUAUGUCAAGUGGCGACUCUGAGUUUUGAAUGUAAAAAUAAUCUUUUUUCGGAACAAAUCUUUAUUUUGUCACUUUAAUAAUAAAAACCCUUUCAAACCUUAAAACAAAUCUUUUCGGAUAUAUAAAAGGGGUGUGAAAGCUCUAGCAACUCUGCUGGGGAGGUUUUCAGAAUUCGAGCUUAUUUUGGAGUCGUAUCGACUUUGUUUGACAUUACGAGUGUAUAAGAGUUGUUUGUGAUUAUUGUUUGUGUUAUUGCUAUCACUUUUGUGCAUUUUCGUGCUCUUUGUGGACAGUAUUUAUCCUUUGUGUUACCGCUUUUAUAUCUAGCAUCAUGUGCAUAACCUGAGUCAUUCUUUCUGCAAUAAGUCUGUAGUACACAUGUUGUACACAACCUCUAGUUGAGUCACCCUUUUCUUAGGGGGAGAGCCGUCGGUGUUAUGGAGUAGGUGGAAAGCAAAACAGCCACUAUCGACCAUACGUUCUCCCAAAUAGCCUUGUUAGUGAACCCCAACAUAGGUCAGCCUUUAGGUCAUGCUUAUGUGCAUCAUAUUGAAGACCUAGCGGGGCCCACUAGGUCCUUCGUAAGAUACUCACCUCUAAAUCAUAUCUACGUGCUAAAUGUUGCAUCUCUGAGGGUAACGGGGUCAUUUGACGAACUGAUUUGAGGGAAAACAUGUGUUAGAGAUAAAAUGUGUAGACAAAAAAUGAAUGGUUAAAGAAGAGAAGAGAAGAAAGAAAAAGAAAAAUGGUGAAUCAAAAAGAGUGUCGUAGUUUAUUUUAGAGUUCUUUAUGGCUUUUGUUCUUCACAAUCCAAAAACUCAAAAGUUUUUUUUACCUUUUGCAUUUAUUUUCUCAAAGUACCGUAAAUUCAACAAAAAAAAAAAGAUUUUGUUUACCUUUUCUACUUAUUUGUCAAAAACAAAAGCACA